RNAcentral lists this ribosomal RNA (253 nucleotides) under uncultured bacterium. RNAcentral describes it as "partial 16S ribosomal RNA". It matches the Rfam family "Bacterial small subunit ribosomal RNA", at positions 524 to 776 of the family's 1533-position model. The record is from RNAcentral.
UACGAAGGGGGCUAGCGUUGCUCGGAAUCACUGGGCGUAAAGCGCACGUAGGCGGCUUUUUAAGUCAGGGGUGAAAUCCUGGAGCUCAACUCCAGAACUGCCUUUGAUACUGAGAAGCUUGAGUCCGGGAGAGGUGAGUGGAACUGCGAGUGUAGAGGUGAAAUUCGUAGAUAUUCGCAAGAACACCAGUGGCGAAGGCGGCUCACUGGCCCGGUACUGACGCUGAUACGCGAAAGCGUGGGGAGCAAACAGG